CAAUAGCGUAUACUAAUGUUGUUGCAGUUAAAAAGCUCGUAGUUGAACUUCUGGUAGGAGUGUCCCGGCCUUUUUGUUUUUACAAACUGUAUGCUGUGUGACAUCUCUGGCCAUCCUUCUUCUUUGUUUAAAGAAGAUCUUUCACUGUAAAAAAAUUAGGGUGUUCAAAGCAAAAGUUUCUUUGGAAUAUAUUAGUAUGGGAUGAUAAGAUAGGCUCUAGAUGCUAUUUUGUUGGUUUGCACAUUUAGAGAAUGAUUAACAGGGACAGUUGGGGGUAUUCGUAUUUACAUGUCAGAGGUGAAAUUCUUGGAUUUUGGAAAGACGAACUACUGCGAAAGCAUUUACCAAGGAUGUUUUCAUUAA
This 363-nucleotide ribosomal RNA is filed under the name uncultured eukaryote. RNAcentral describes it as "partial 18S ribosomal RNA". It matches the Rfam family "Eukaryotic small subunit ribosomal RNA", at positions 592 to 976 of the family's 1831-position model. The record is from RNAcentral.